Molecule: small RNA, 194 nt
Filed under: Arabidopsis thaliana (thale cress)
Lineage: Eukaryota; Viridiplantae; Streptophyta; Magnoliopsida; Brassicales; Brassicaceae
Description: ATSL271280
Source: RNAcentral
GAAUUUUAAAAGCCUAAGUAUUGUAUCCUUGUUAGAAGAUACAAAGACAAAGACUCAUACGGACUUCGGCUCACCAUCAAAGCUUUGACAAGCAAGAAGAAGCUUAGUUAGUGUUUUGGAGUCAAAUAUGACUUAAUGUGAUGUGUAUGAUUGAGUAUAAGAACUUAAACCGCAACUCGAUCAUAAAAGCCUAU